UUGCCAGUGAUGGUCAAGAAUUUCUUCACCUGAAUAAACCUUGUGGUCAUGUUGUAUCUGAGGCAAA
This is a small nucleolar RNA of Talpa occidentalis (Iberian mole), 67 nucleotides long. NCBI's taxonomy places the organism in Eukaryota, Metazoa, Chordata, Mammalia, Eulipotyphla, Talpidae. The record is from RefSeq and is a predicted model, not a curated record.